Molecule: transfer RNA, 71 nt
Filed under: Bos taurus (domestic cattle)
Lineage: Eukaryota; Metazoa; Chordata; Mammalia; Artiodactyla; Bovidae
Also listed under: 1 other name
Rfam family: tRNA
About the family: Transfer RNA (tRNA) molecules are approximately 80 nucleotides in length.
Source: Rfam by way of RNAcentral
UCCCUGGUGGCUCAGAUGGUAAAGAAUCUGCCUGCAAUGCAGGAGACGCAGGUUCAACCCUGUGUGGGGAA